GACGAACGCUGGCGGCGUGCUUAACACAUGCAAGUCGAACGGGGAGUUAGCAAUAACUCCUAGUGGCGAACGGGUGAGUAACGCGUAGACAACCUACCUUCUAGCUGGGGACAACACCGCGAAAGUGGUGCUAAUACCGAAUGUGUUACCGGGAGGGCAUUCUCUUGGUAAGAAAGGUGGCCUCUAUUUAUAAGCUACCACUAGAAGAUGGGUCUGCGUCUGAUUAGCUAGUUGGCGGGGUAAAGCCCACCAAGGCGACGAUCAGUAGCCGGUCUGAGAGGAUGAACGGCCACACUGGGACUGAGACACGGCCCAGACUCCUACGGGUGGCAG
Molecule: ribosomal RNA, 333 nt
Filed under: uncultured Bacillota bacterium
Lineage: Bacteria; Bacillati; Bacillota
Description: bacterial SSU rRNA
Rfam family: Bacterial small subunit ribosomal RNA
Source: RNAcentral